GUCGAGAAUCUUUCACAAUGGGGGCAACCCUGAUGGAGCGACGCCGCGUGGAGGAUAAGGUCUUCGGAUUGUAAACUCCUGUCAUGCGUGAACAAGGUUGCUUGGUUAAUACCUGGGCAAAUUGAUGGUAACGCAAGAGGAAGAGACGGCUAACUCUGUGCCAGCAGCCGCGGUAAUACAGAGGUCUCAAGCGUUGUUCGGAAUCACUGGGCGUAAAGGGUGCGUAGGUGGCGUGGUAAGUCAGAUGUGAAAGCCCGGGGCUCAACCGCGGACCUGCAUCGGAUACUGCCAUGCUAGCGUACUGGAGAGGUGACUAGAAUUCUCGGUGUAGCAGUGAAAGGCGUAGAUAUCGAGAGGAAUACCAAAGGCGUAGGCAGGUCACUGGACAGUUACUGACACUGAGGCACGAAGGCCAGGGGAGCGAACGGGAUUAGAAACCCCUGUAGUCC
Molecule: ribosomal RNA, 449 nt
Filed under: uncultured bacterium
Lineage: Bacteria
Description: partial 16S ribosomal RNA
Rfam family: Bacterial small subunit ribosomal RNA
Source: RNAcentral